AGAUGCCUCUGGCAAUUUUGAUUUAUCAAUUAUCCUUUAACACAAGGACAUAACAUUGUGAACAAAGUCCUUUCUUUCUGACGCAGAUGAUGAUUUGCAGAUGUGACAAGCUGCCGCAGUAUCGCGUCAACUACUGCCAAGGAGGACUAACUCAAUGCUCAGCAAGACCACACCAACAUAGCUGCUGCACAGAUUUAACGCAAGGAGGGGAGAACACUGUGCUCAUUGGGGCUGACGGUUACCACAGCAACCACGGAACACAAUGAGAAAGAGGCGGGGAGAGAGGAGUCAGCCAUUUUCUCUACAUGCAAAGGACUAUGUCUGACGUACCUAUGUUGGUAAUGGUCUUUUUUUUUCAAGCAAGGAAGCUCAGCGUUGCUUUAGAGCUUCAGUAGGAACAACAUAUUUCAUCAUAGAUACAUUUCUGUGUGUAACACGUGCUGACUUGCUCAAUACUCAUAACUGAUUGUUUAGUUUGUUCAUGAUAGGUGAAUCGUUCCUGUGUAACGACUCAAGAGGCUGACGUAGUCAGACAGCAUCAUUUUCCUGCGAUAGCAACAAUGGCAGUCAAAGCAUAGUCCAUGUUUAGUCAAAGUAGCGGGUUCUCACUCGUUUGUGCAAGUCUCCGACAUAUUUUUGAAGUCAAAUUCACCAUUGAGCGUUUGUUCACACAUUUAAAAAGCUGCAUCGGGACGCCGCCCUCAAUCCACAUCCCCUCCGUGCUUCCAUUCCCCAACAUCUGCAGCAUGCAGCGAGUCACCGAACCGCUCUCUUGCUCCGACACGGUGACAUCUCGGGAGGCUAUUUAUAGAUGUUUUUGCAUCAGAGCAGUGCAUGAAUGUUUUGGUUGGUUGUACAACAAUGACGUUGUUUUUGAGAUCAAUUUUGUUCCUGUUUCUCCCUCAUUUCGGGCCACCUACAGUAUCCUCAUCAGACACUUCAUCCAAGGUGUUCAAUCAAGAGAACAGUGAAAUUCUGGCUUUGGCCACAUUUUCAAUGGCACUGUCAGAACGAUAUUUUCAUUGUACUUCAUCAUACUGAGGGCAUCCAACAUACUGAUACACGACUGGUACACGAUGUGAUUGAUUACAUUCCAAUCUCUUGUUGGUUGUUGUUUAAUGUGUUGAGGAGUUGUUCUGCGUCCAAAGACUUUCAGAGUUAUGGACUGUAGCCUAUUCCCCGUCUUAUCAUUUGUUUGUGUCAAAUGUUAUUUUGUAGACUGAUGUUUGAAAAUUUGAUCAGAAUGGAAACAAGGCAAAGAAAUCUGGGAUGCAUUGCAACUUCCCAACCAGAAUGCUGCGAGAAAUCAUCGAGGGUGAAGCGGCAAAUAAUGUAAUUUAACUUAAUUUUUUAUCUGAAAAGUUAUUAUUAAUCACAAAUACAUCUUAGUUCAUCUUCCCAUGGCAUCAACCUAUAGUGACAGGCAGAACAAAUAGAUGUACAACGGAAUACAUCAUGGCUUUGUGGGACUAUAUCAAAUCUUUUUGGUCAACCAAACUUUUUCCCCUGAGUAUGUCAAUUUGUGAGUAAAUUCUGUUGAGGUCAUCAUUUUUUUCAGUAUUCCUGCUUUUUUGUUUCAUUUUUCAUUAGUAGUGUGCCACGACAGUGUCCUAAUGUCAACUAAUGUGCUUUGGCUCAAUAAAGGUUGGGAAACACUGCAUUAGAUGGCAUUGUUGUGAUGUAUUGUUAUGGAGAGUGGCGGCAUGGUGGGCGACUGGUUAGCACGUCAGCUUCACAGUGCAGAGGUCCCUGGUUCGAUUCCGGGCCCCGGCCUUCCUGUGUGGAGUUUGCAGGUUCUCCCCGUGCUUGCGUGGGUUUUCUCCGGGUACUCCGCUUUCCUCCCACAUUCCAAAAAUAUGCAUGGCAGGUUAAUGGAACACGCCGAACAAUUGACUGUGAGUGUGAAUGGUUGUCUUUGUGUGCCCUGCGAUUGGUUGACAACCAGUUUCGGGUGUACCCCGCCCAUUGCCCAAGGAUAGUUCCCAGUAUGCCCACGAAACUUGUGAGGAUAAGCAGGUUCAAAAAUUGAUGGAUGGAAGGCUGGAUGUUAUGGAGAGAAAACAAGACAAAGACAGCGACAGCUGAUUUCGUAAUCGUUUUAUUUGAAAUGUCAGUGUUCAAGAGAAAAUAAAACAGCAAUAUAAAUAUUAGCAUAAAAAUGAGAAGGAUAAAGCGUGGCGAGGGGAAGGGGUUUGCAUUUGAUAAGAAAGAUAAUACAGCAUGAUAGAGUAGCAUUAAUUCAGCAGCGGACAGACGUACACAUUAAUAAUAUUUAUACUGUAGUCAUUUGUUCAUAUGGACAGAAAGAGAAUGCACAAGAUCAAAUCACCGCAAAAAGAACAUUGAGAGGUUACAGAAGGAUAGAAACAUAUUCAUAUUUGUCAUUUCUUUACAGGGUGAUAAAAGAUAGAAGAGAAAAUGAACACAAAAAUAUGCGCAACACAUAUCACAGGUUAACUAGUCUACGUGUGUCACUUAUCUAAAGUUAUCUUUCAUUUGUUCUAUUUACACUGACGGGUUAGUUGGCAUGGUGCUUAGUUACUACAUUGCAACACAAACUGUUGAAAAACAUCUCAGAUUUUCAUUUAUGAUUUUUUUUUAUAUUUGUUGUUUGCUUAAUUUUCUUGGAAAACGAAAUGCAACACAUUCCAAUAGUGAGCCACGCUUUGUGGAGGA
Hippocampus zosterae (dwarf seahorse) is the source of this 2676-nucleotide long non-coding RNA. RefSeq lists it as uncharacterized. Lineage: Eukaryota; Metazoa; Chordata; Actinopteri; Syngnathiformes; Syngnathidae. The record is from RefSeq and is a predicted model, not a curated record. The transcript is spliced from 2 exons.